CGGUGCAAUGAGACUAGCCUCGU
This 23-nucleotide non-coding RNA is filed under the name Mus musculus (house mouse). The record is from RNAcentral. Lineage: Eukaryota; Metazoa; Chordata; Mammalia; Rodentia; Muridae.